ACACGUGAGCAACCUGCCUUUCAGUGGGGGACAACAUUUGGAAACGAAUGCUAAUACCGCAUAAGACCACAGUGUCGCAUGGCACAGGGGUCAAAGGAUUUAUCCGCUGAAAGAUGGGCUCGCGUCCGAUUAGCUAGAUGGUGAGGUAACGGCCCACCAUGGCGACGAUCGGUAGCCGGACUGAGAGGUUGAACGGCCACAUUGGGACUGAGACACGGCCCAGACUCCUACGGGAGACAGCAUG
Molecule: ribosomal RNA, 244 nt
Filed under: uncultured bacterium
Lineage: Bacteria
Description: partial 16S ribosomal RNA
Rfam family: Bacterial small subunit ribosomal RNA
Source: RNAcentral